UGCGGAGUGGAGAAGUGGCUAUCUCGCCAGCCUCAUAAGCUGGAGAUCACGGGUGCAAGUCCCGUCUCCGCAACCA
Molecule: transfer RNA, 76 nt
Filed under: compost metagenome
Description: tRNA-Met
Rfam family: tRNA
About the family: Transfer RNA (tRNA) molecules are approximately 80 nucleotides in length. Their secondary structure includes four short double-helical elements and three loops (D, anti-codon, and T loops). Further hydrogen bonds mediate the characteristic L-shaped molecular structure. tRNAs have two regions of fundamental functional importance: the anti-codon, which is responsible for specific mRNA codon recognition, and the 3' end, to which the tRNAs corresponding amino acid is attached (by aminoacyl-tRNA synthetases). tRNAs cope with the degeneracy of the genetic code in two manners: having more than one tRNA (with a specific anti-codon) for a particular amino acid; and 'wobble' base-pairing, i.e. permitting non-standard base-pairing at the 3rd anti-codon position.
Source: RNAcentral